Long non-coding RNA from Ailuropoda melanoleuca (giant panda), 1115 nucleotides. RefSeq lists it as uncharacterized. The record is from RefSeq and is a predicted model, not a curated record. NCBI's taxonomy places the organism in Eukaryota, Metazoa, Chordata, Mammalia, Carnivora, Ursidae. The transcript is spliced from 3 exons.
UGCUCUCUCGGCUGCCUCACUUUGAGGGAAGCCUGCUGCCCUGGCAGGAAGGAAGCCCCUGCGGCCCUGGGGAGGGCAUCAUGCGGUGGUGAGCUGAGGCCUUUCGUUGACAGCCAGCACCAGCUUGCCUGCCACGGGAGCGAGCAACCUCGGAGGGGACCUUCUCGCCCCAGUGGAGCCUUCCAGAGACGGCAGCUGACAUCUUCCAGAGACGGCAGCUGACAUCUUGAGCACGGCCUCACCAGAGACCUCGGAGCCACCAAGCUCAGCGGCUCCCACGCGCUGGCAGAAACGAUGGGAAAGGGGCAAUUGUCAGAGUCAAUGAAGCAGGAUGUCUGUGCGCUCACCCCUCACACAGCACUUUGCGGGGAGACAACUCUCCACGGGUCUCCUGCCCUGCUGUGCCUUGUGCCCACAGAAGAGCCCGCGGCUUUUGUUCCUGACGUUGCUCGGGACCAGCCUCCCGAGGGUGUGUGCAGAGUGAACAGCCUGGGGAGACAGAGGCCACGCUGUCUCCGCAUAAGGCAGGUCUGUUCACUGGGCAGGAGAACGAGGAGAAUGCAUCCCUCUGGGGCAGGGCCCGGCUGGGUCCUGUCCCGAGCCCUGCACACCGGGCUUCGGGGUUGGGCGUAAGAGACGCUGCUGCCCUGCCCUGCGAGAGCCAAGAGCAGCACGGGCCUGCAUCUCCGACCCGAGAGUCCUGUGUCCUCCACCACCACCCGCGGAACCCGCAGGCUCACGGGCCGCUUCCAAGGAAGGCAGCCGUCCCAGCCCCUCCCUGCUCCGAACCAGGGUGAGCCAGAGUGUCCUUUCCAGCCUCCUCGAUGCCCUGAGGGCCAGCACGGCAGUGUUUUCAGUCCCAUCCUGCAGGCAUGAGUGAUAGUGAUUUUUUCAUCGCUCCCCAGCUGAUUCUAACACCCUGCAAGGCCUCAGGCCACCCUGUCCAGCGUGCUGACCACAGGCCAGUGUCCAUGGAGCCCCUAUGAUGUGGCCUGUCUCAAGAUGUGCUGUAAGUGGACACUACACCCUGAUUUGAAGGCUUUAUGAAAAACACAAAUGUAAAAUAGCUCAGCAUUUUUGUAUUACACAUUGAAAUAUUAUUUUCAUAUACUGGG